This is a non-coding RNA of Chelonoidis abingdonii (Abingdon island giant tortoise), 90 nucleotides long. NCBI's taxonomy places the organism in Eukaryota, Metazoa, Chordata, Testudines, Testudinidae. The record is from RefSeq and is a predicted model, not a curated record.
CAGCUUCAGCUGAAAAGUUGCAGCAGUUCUGCCUUUUGCCCACCAGACGGUACUGUGGCACUAGAACAGAGCAGCAGUUCCCAGCCAGCC